GACGAACGCUGGCGGCGUGCUUAACACAUGCAAGUCGAAUGGAAAGGCCCUGCUUUUGUGGGGUGCUCGAGUGGCGAACGGGUGAGUAACACGUGAGUAACCUGCCCUUGACUUUGGGAUAACUUCAGGAAACUGGGGCUAAUACCGGAUAGGAGCUCCUGCUGCAUGGUGGGGGUUGGAAAGUUUCGGCGGUUGGGGAUGGACUCGCGGCUUAUCAGCUUGUUGGUGGGGUAGUGGCUUACCAAGGCUUUGACGGGUAGCCGGCCUGAGAGGGUGACCGGCCACAUUGGGACUGAGAUACGGCCCAGACUCCUACGGGAGGCAACAGUGGGGAAUAUUGCACAAUGGGCGGAAGCCUGAUGCAGCAACGCCGCGUGCGGGAUGACGGCCUUCGGGUUGUAAACCGCUUUCGCCUGUGACGAAGCGUGAGUGACGGUAAUGGGUAAAGAAGCACCGGCUAACUACGU
RNAcentral lists this ribosomal RNA (467 nucleotides) under uncultured bacterium. RNAcentral describes it as "partial 16S ribosomal RNA". It matches the Rfam family "Bacterial small subunit ribosomal RNA", at positions 28 to 506 of the family's 1533-position model. The record is from RNAcentral.